This 290-nucleotide small nuclear RNA is filed under the name Oryctolagus cuniculus (rabbit). RNAcentral describes it as "7SK RNA". It matches the Rfam family "7SK RNA". From Rfam's summary of the family: 7SK was discovered as an abundant small nuclear RNA in the mid-70s but a possible function has only recently been suggested. Two independent studies have found that 7SK RNA binds the CDK9/cyclin T complex (known as elongation factor P-TEFb). The record is from Rfam by way of RNAcentral. Lineage: Eukaryota; Metazoa; Chordata; Mammalia; Lagomorpha; Leporidae.
GGAUGUGAGGGCAAUCUGGCUGCGACCUCUGUCACCCCAUUGAUCGCCAGGGUUGAUUCGGCUGAUCUGGCUGGCUAGGCGGGUGUCCCCUUCCUCCCUCACCGCUCCAUGUGCGUCCCUCCUGAAGCUGCGCGCUUGGUCGAAGAGGACGACCUUCCCCGCUAGAGGAGGACCGGUCUUCGGUCAAGGGUAUAUGAGUAGCUACGCUCCCCUGCUAGAACCUCCAAACAAGCUCUCAAUUAGGGUCAAAUAGUUAAAACUCCAUGGCAGUCAUCUUUUCACUUAGAGAU